This 469-nucleotide ribosomal RNA is filed under the name uncultured bacterium. Its description in RNAcentral is "partial 16S ribosomal RNA". It matches the Rfam family "Bacterial small subunit ribosomal RNA", at positions 28 to 507 of the family's 1533-position model. The record is from RNAcentral.
GACGAACGCUGGCGGCGUGCUUAACACAUGCAAGUCGAACGGAAAGGUCCUGCUUUUGUGGGGUGCUCGAGUGGCGAACGGGUGAGUAACAUGUGAGUAACCUGCCCUUGACUUUGGGAUAACUUCAGGAAACUGGGGCUAAUACCGGAUAGGAGCUCUUGCUGCAUGGUGGGGGUUGGAAAGUUUCGGCGGUUGGGGAUGGACUCGCGGCUUAUCAGCUUGUUGGUGGGGUAGUGGCUUACCAAGGGUUUGACGGGUAGCCGGCCUGGGUGGGUGACCGGCCGCAUUGGGACUUGAGAUACGGCCCAGACUCCUACGGGAGGCAGCAGUGGGGAAUAUUGCACAAUGGGCGGAAGCCUGAUGCAGCAACGCCGCGUGCGGGAUGACGGCCUUCGGGUUGUAAUCCGAUUUCGCCUGUGACGAAGCGUGAGUGACGGUAAUGGGUAAAGAAGCACCGGCUAACUACGUG